This is a long non-coding RNA of Carya illinoinensis, 385 nucleotides long. RefSeq lists it as uncharacterized. NCBI's taxonomy places the organism in Eukaryota, Viridiplantae, Streptophyta, Magnoliopsida, Fagales, Juglandaceae. The record is from RefSeq and is a predicted model, not a curated record. The transcript is spliced from 3 exons.
UUCAAUGCUGGACGUCCUGUUAGUCUUGUUCGUAUGGUUUCUCCUGCUUAACCAUGAUGAGGUUGAUGCAAAUUGGGGAUUAUCGAGAAAGGAAGAGUUGAGAUUCAAGGAACAACUUACAAGUCUUAGUACGUCUGCAAUUAGAAGCAUCCACGAAGAUGGCGACGUAUACGACUGUAUUGAUUUCUACAAAUAGCCUGGUUUUAAUCACCCUUUUUGGAAGAAUACUACAUUUCAGAUGAAACGUAAAUUAUUUAUGGAAGGACUGCAAAGUAAAACGGAUUUGCCAUUGAAAAUUGGGCUAAAAGAUGACGGUUGUCCUUAUGGAACAGUUCCAAUUAGGAGAAUAGAUAAAGAUGAAGUAAAUUCAAAUUUAAAGGAAGAA